RNAcentral lists this ribosomal RNA (398 nucleotides) under uncultured bacterium. Its description in RNAcentral is "partial 16S ribosomal RNA". It matches the Rfam family "Bacterial small subunit ribosomal RNA", at positions 523 to 918 of the family's 1533-position model. The record is from RNAcentral.
AUACGUAGGGUGCGAGCGUUGUCCGGAAUUACUAGGCGUAAAGAGCUCGUAGGUGGUUUGUCGCGUCGUCUGUGAAAUUCCGGGGCUUAACUCCGGGCGUGCAGGCGAUACGGGCAUAACUUGAGUACUGUAGGGGAGACUGGAAUUCCUGGUGUAGCGGUGAAAUGCGCAGAUAUCAGGAGGAACACCGGGGGCGAAGGCGGUAGUAUGGGCAGUACCCGUCGCUGAGGUGCGAAAGCUGGGAUAGCGAACAGGAGUAGAUACCCUGAUAGUCCAUGCUGGAAACGGUGGGCGCUAGGUGUAGGGGCCUUCCCCGAUUUCUGUGCCUUAUCUAACGCAUUAAGCGCCCCGCCGGGGGAGUUCGGCCGCAAGGCUAAAACUUAAAGGAAUUGACGGGU